Molecule: transfer RNA, 60 nt
Filed under: Lycosa singoriensis
Lineage: Eukaryota; Metazoa; Arthropoda; Arachnida; Araneae; Lycosidae
Description: tRNA-Lys
Source: RNAcentral
AGUGAAGUGGCCGAUAUAGGUGUUAGUCUCUUAAAUUAAUUAAGAGUAAAUUAGUUAAUA